GAUGAACGCUGGCGGCGUGCCUAAUACAUGCAAGUCGAGCGAACGGACGAGAAGCUUGCUUCUCUGAUGUUAGUAGCGGACGGGUGAGUAACACGUGGAUAACCUACCUAUAAGACUGGGAUAACUUCGGGAAACCGGAGCUAAUACCGGAUAAUAUUUUGAACCGCAUGGUUCAAAGGUGAAAGACGGUCUUGCUGUCACUUAUAGAUGGAUCCGCGCUGCAUUAGCUAGUUGGUAAGGUAACGGCUUACCAAGGCAACGAUGCAUAGCCGACCUGAGAGGGUGAUCGGCCACACUGGAACUGAGACACGGUCCAGACUCCUACGGGAGGCAGCAGUAGGGAAUCUUCCGCAAUGGGCGAAAGCCUGACGGAGCAACGCCGCGUGAGUGAUGAAGGUCUUCGGAUCGUAAAACUCUGUUAUUAGGGAAGAACAUAUGUGUAAGUAACUGUGCACAUCUUGACGGUACCUAAUCAGAAAGCCACGGCUAACUACGUG
This 497-nucleotide ribosomal RNA is filed under the name uncultured bacterium. Its description in RNAcentral is "partial 16S ribosomal RNA". It matches the Rfam family "Bacterial small subunit ribosomal RNA", at positions 28 to 507 of the family's 1533-position model. The record is from RNAcentral.